GUUCAUUAUAAGUUACUUUACCACUCUCUCCGAUGUCUUUAAGCUAUCUAGUCAUCAGGAGAUUUACGAAAAUUUCGAUAUAGCUAAGGAUGAUAUGAAUACAAGUAUUGCAGAAGAAAAUAUAACAAAUUACAAUUUCGUUGAUGUAUUGUUGAAAGUAUUAAAAUUAAAGUCAGAUUUAAAUGGAACAAUUUUUGGCGACAUUGAAAAUAGAUGUGAAUUAAAUGCACAAUUCGAUAAAUUCAUAAAUGAUACUCGCUAACUAAUCAAACAUUCUAUAAUUAUAAAAAUGUGUAAUCCCUACAUCCAUACAUUAAUUGAAUUUAUUAUUAUUAUUAUUAUUGCUUUAAGUUCAUUUAAAUUUAGUAUUAUUUAUUAAUAAUAAACUCUUACUAUGUUUUAUGUUUAAAAUAACCUGUCAACAUUAUUCUUUGGGCUAUGCAUGAGAUAAAUAUCACAAAGAUCUUUUUAACCUUUAAUUUAAUAUUCGUAUAAGAAUUUAAAAGGUACGAUAAGAAAAACAGCGUUUUAAAUGAAAAAUUCCAUAGAACUAAUACAAUACCAAUUUUUUGUAGGUCAGAUGUAUUGUACAUUACAUAUAAUUUAUAUUUACUGAACAUUUAAAAUAUAUCUUUAAUUUGUCUUUGACAUAAAACAAUAGUUUUACUUUAUUAUAUAAUCUAUCUCUCUAGUAACUGAGGUACGCGAUUGCCUGUGUCCCCUUCAAAUAAUUAAAACUCAUUUAAGGAGAUAGGGACAAUAUUUGGGUUGACGUCGAGUUGCUACCGAUUCUUUGUUUAAACCAAGAUCCUCAAGUAUUAAUCGAACCCUAACAAAUGGUAAAAUAAUAUUUUGACAUAUUUUUUAUGUUAAUAUAGAGGAAAAAAUUAAG
Molecule: long non-coding RNA, 892 nt
Organism: Daktulosphaira vitifoliae (grape phylloxera)
Lineage: Eukaryota; Metazoa; Arthropoda; Insecta; Hemiptera; Phylloxeridae
Exons: 3
Source: RefSeq, a predicted model, not a curated record